Molecule: microRNA precursor, 98 nt
Filed under: Equus caballus (horse)
Lineage: Eukaryota; Metazoa; Chordata; Mammalia; Perissodactyla; Equidae
Description: mir-544 microRNA precursor family
Rfam family: mir-544 microRNA precursor family
Source: Rfam by way of RNAcentral
GUCAUCUGGGAAUCUUGUUAAAACACAAACUUUGGUUUAGUAGGUCUGGAGUGAGACCUGAGAUUCUGCAUUUCUAACAAGCUCCCAAGUGAUGCAAA